RNAcentral lists this ribosomal RNA (381 nucleotides) under uncultured bacterium. RNAcentral's name for it is "bacterial SSU rRNA". It matches the Rfam family "Bacterial small subunit ribosomal RNA", at positions 92 to 507 of the family's 1533-position model. The record is from RNAcentral.
CGAGCGGCGGACGGCUGAGUAACGCGUGGGAACAUGCCCAAAGUGAGGAAUAACUGCCCGAAAGGGUAGCUAAUGCCGCAUACGAUCUUCGGAUUAAAGGAUUUAUCCGCUUUGGGAGUGGCCUGCGUACGAUUAGAUAGUUGGUGAGGUAAUGGCUCACCAAGUCUACGAUCGUUAACUGGUUUGAGAGGAUGAUCAGUCAGACUGGAACUGAGACACGGUCCAGACUCCUACGGGAGGCAGCAGUGAGGAAUCUUCCACAAUGGACGAAAGUCUGAUGGAGCAACUCCGCGUGCAGGAUGAAGGCCUUCGGGUCGUAAACUGCUUUUAUGAGUGAAGAAUAUGACGGUAACUCAUGAAUAAGGGUCGGCUAACUACGUG